GAUGAACGCUGGCGGCGUGCCUAAUACAUGCAAGUCGAGCGAACGGACGAGAAGUUUGUUUUUCUUAUGUUAGCGGCGGAAGGGUGUGAAACACGUGGGUAUCAUACCCCUAAGCCUGGGAUAACUCCGCGUAACCGGAGCUAAUACCGGGGAUUAUUUUCAACCGCAUGGUUCAAAAGUGUAUGACGGUCUUGCUGUCAUUUAUAGAUGGAUCCGCGCGGCUUUAGCUAGUUGGUAGGGUAACGGCUUACCAAGGCGUCGAUGCUAAGCGGACGUGAGAGGGUGGUGGGCGACACUGGAACGGAGACACGGUCCAGCCGCCUACGGGAGGCAGCAGUAGGGAGGCUUCCGCAAUGGGCGAAAGCCUGACGGGGCAACGCCGCGUGAGUGAUGAAGGUGGUCUUAUCGUAGAACUCUGUUAUUGGGGAAGAACAUAUGCUGAAGUAUCUGUGCACGUCUUGACGGUACCUAAUCAGAAAGCCCCGGCUAACUACGUG
This 497-nucleotide ribosomal RNA is filed under the name uncultured bacterium. RNAcentral describes it as "partial 16S ribosomal RNA". It matches the Rfam family "Bacterial small subunit ribosomal RNA", at positions 28 to 507 of the family's 1533-position model. The record is from RNAcentral.